GCUCUCUCCAGAGGAGGCGCUGAGUGAGUGGCUGCCACAUCUUAUUAUUUUAUUAAUCAAUUGGCAGGCAAUUUUUUAAAGUUGGAAUUGUUUUAAAUAUAAGAAUUAACUACAAAAUUUUAAUAAAAUGCCUUCUCCAUUCAAAUCACUUUUUUGUUUUUCAUUUAUUUAAAUCGAGAUAAAAUUCAUAUAACAUAAAGUUCAACACAUUAACAAUAUUAAAGUGUAAAAAACUUUGUUCUUCUCCUUCAAUAUUGUGUGGCUAUUCUGGGUCUUGUGUCUCUCCAUAUAAGCUUUAGAAUCAGUUCAUUGGUAGCCACAAAAUAACUUCCUGGGAAUUUGAUUAGGAUUGCAUUGAAUCUAUAAAUCAAGGAAAAACCAGGCAGCUUUACAGUAUCUAAUCUUUAAGUCCAUGAAUAUGUAAUAUCUCUCUAUUUAGUUCUUUGACUUUUUUCAUUAGUGUUUUGUGAUUAUCUUCAUAUAGAUCUUGUACAUAUUUUGUUAGAUUUACAUCUAACUCUUGCAUUUUGAGGGGUGUUAAUUAAAUGGUUUGUGUUUUUAAUUUCAAAUUUCACAUGUUAUUGCUAAUACAGCCAUCAGUAUUGGUGGGGGAUUGGUUACAGAAUUCCUUAUGGAUACCAAAAUCCUUGAAUAUUUAAGUCUCAUAUAAAAUGCUGUACUAUUUGCAUAUAACCUGUGCAUAUCUUCUCAUAUACUUUAAAUA
This 724-nucleotide long non-coding RNA is filed under the name Homo sapiens (human). RNAcentral's name for it is "non-protein coding lnc-PPFIA2-3:1". The record is from RNAcentral. Lineage: Eukaryota; Metazoa; Chordata; Mammalia; Primates; Hominidae.